RNAcentral lists this unclassified non-coding RNA (4298 nucleotides) under Hevea brasiliensis (rubber tree). Lineage: Eukaryota; Viridiplantae; Streptophyta; Magnoliopsida; Malpighiales; Euphorbiaceae. The record is from RNAcentral.
CUUGUGACUUGUAAUAAAGAGAAUUCUCGUAAUAGAUAUGUAGUGCGAGUCCUACAAAUCACAUCCAUAUACAAGCGCAUGCAGAAAGGAAAAUGAGAACUAUGGUCAAUAUGAUUUCGAGAUUGAACGGUUCAAGACACAUGGGUUUAUACUGUCUCCUACAUGAUGCUCUCACAUGCAACAUGAACCUACAAAUUUUUGAACAAACAUCCAAAUUACUAUAGUAUUCUCUCACCUAUGUUCAAUGAUUUAGGGGACCCAAAAAAACCCUCGUAAGGAAACUUCUUUUUAUAUUAGAAAGACCCAAAUCCCCCAGAGCAUCAAAUUCCAAAUGAUAAUCCACCUGGGGCAAGGUCCAAAACCUGAAGAACUAGUAUCGGUGACACCGAUAAGAAACCUGCAAUCACCAACUGAUGGGUCUCGGAAUGUAACCAUACCAAGACCAUCAAAAUCACAGCUUUGUGGAUUUUGAUCUUGAAGCUGAUAGUAACUGUUGAAAGCAUAAGAGAUAUUUCCCUUUGCCCCAAUUCCAUUGCAUGAUCCCCCAUAAUUGAGUGUUGUACAAUCUGCAAAACCACAAGCAAUUCUCAUGUGGUUAGUCACAUCAGACAGAUCUUUGGUCGGAUCAGCCACACACCACCUAGAUGGGAGAUAUUGAACAUUCUUGGCAUUCUUCAAUAACUUGUUGCCCAAACCAAGGUUCAAUGGAUAUUUAGCCUGGCCAUCACAGGAAAAAAUCCACCAGUGCCUUUCAAAACUUCCUGGAAGUAUGCUCUUUGCCCCUUCAUCAAGUAGACUGAAAAGAUAAAUAUCCAUGGGAGGAGCACCUGGUCUAAGAGGGGUUCCUUUGUUACUUAAAACAUUAUUUAUGAGUCCCUGGUUGAAAGCUCUUGCGGCAGUGAGGUUUGCACUGAUGGCUCCAUCAGUUGGCCAACCCACCUCCCCAAUAACUAUAGGCAUCUGACCAUAUCCAAGUUUGUUGAGGGCAGCAACUAAAGUAUCAAAAUUUCCAUCAAAUGCAUUGUAGUAGACAUUAGGCCCAUCUGUAACAGGAUGGGUACUCCCUUCAAAGAAUGCAUAAUCUUGGGGAAAAUCUGUGCUCCCAUAGAGACUAAGAAAUGGGUAAAUAUUGACAACAAAAGGGGAACCAUUUGAGUUGAGGAAGGAAACAAGUUGAGUUAUAAUUUCAGUUAACUCAGGUCGAAAUGCCCCUUGAGAAGGUAGGGAGGAUUCAUAGGCAUCUGCAUUGCAAGGGACCACUAGCUUUACAUAACCAGCGAGAUUUGCUUUAGCCAAAGACUGCUGUAAAUUGAGCAGGGCAGGCAUUACAUAGGAUUGAAAUUGACCAGAAUAACUAGAUAGGAAUGGUUCAUUUCCUACAGCUACAUACCUGCCAUUGUUUGGUAUGAAGAAAAAAUACAGUGAGAAAUCUGGAACGCCUGAUAUGUAUAGAAUGUUACAAUACAUCUCAACUUUUAUAUAUGCAGAAAUCAGAAUUCUGCAAAUCAGAUUUCAGAACUUGAAACAAACUAUCCUUAACUGAUGGACUUCCAAAACAACAACAAAAUUUAAGCCUUAAUCCCAAAAUAGUUGGGGACAAUAUGGGUCAUUUUUCACCAUUCAACUUUGUUUGAGAUCAAUUCUUCAAUACUUGUAAAUCUUUUAAUACUACUUCUUUCUACGUCAUUUUAGGUCUCUCCCUUUUUGUCCUUACUUCUUCCAUCACUAAUUUAUCACAUUCCUCCCCUUCAUCCCCUCUAGAGAGCUAAACUUGCAAUGUAUAUAUUCUAUCUUAUUUCUAAUUAGCCUAAAACCCUUACUCUCAAAAGUACUUUUCCACAACUACAACUUUUAAUUAACUAUUUCACUAGUUUCAUCCACUAAGAUAAUAUAUCAUCUACAAAUAAUAUACAGCAUGAGAUAUCAUCUUGAAUAGGAUUAAUUAGCUUAUUCAUAACUAAGGCAAACAAAUAUAGACUCAAAGUCGAUCUCUAAUAUAAACCAAUUAUUAUGAAAAAUUCAUUUGUAUCCCUUUCCACUAUUCUUACACAUGUAACCGCCUCCGCAUACAUGUCCAUAAUGAUAUUUAUAUAUUGAUGGGCUUUCAAAAGUGAGUUGUAAAUUAUUAUUGAGACACUAACAACUAUCAAGCUUCUUAAUCGCAUGAUUUGAGAACUAGACUCCAAAAUCAUAAUUCAUAUCAAGCAAGUGUAGAACUAGUUUGAGGUAUACCCACUUAAACUCCAUAGGUUUUGAUGUAGCAUCCUCACCUAAUUAUCCCUUCAUACAGCUUUUGAAACAAUUUCAGCCCACAAAAUAGAAAUAGCAUCUGAUCUUGCACAGGUGGAAAAAUUCUCUCUCUCUCUCUCUCCCCACAAUAAAAAUCACUCAUUUCUUUCUUUGAUUUAUCUCUGCUCUGCAAUACCAAAAGCUCCUGUCCUCAGUUCCCUCUCUCUUUCUCUCUCUGGGGUUAGGGUUUUGUUGACGUAGUAGAUGGGGCAGCAAUCGUUGAUCUACAGCUUCGUGGCGAGAGGGACGGUGAUUUUGGCAGAGUUUACGGAGUUCACCGGCAACUUUACAAGCAUAGCAGCUCAGUGCCUCCAGAAACUUCCGGCCACCAACAACAAGUUCACAUACAAUUGUGAUGGCCACACCUUCAACUACCUCGUCGAUAACGGCUUCACUUACUGUGUAGUUGCAGUUGAGUCUGUUGGCCGACAGGUUCCAAUUGCCUUCCUUGAGCGAAUCAAGGAAGAUUUCAUCAAGAGAUAUGGUGGAGGAAAAGCUGCAACAGCUGUUGCUAAUAGCCUGAACAAGGAAUUUGGGCCCAAAUUGAAGGAGCAGAUGCAAUACUGUGUGGAUCACCCUGAGGAGGUCAGUAAGCUUGCCAAGGUGAAAGCUCAGGUUUCAGAAGUCAAAGGGGUUAUGAUGGAAAACAUAGAGAAGGUGAGGCGCUACUUCUACAUUUUUUUUAUACUUUCUAAACGGAACUACAAAACAAACAUCUUCUGUAUGGUUUGAGCAGGCUUUACUUUUGUUGAUUGAGUGUGAAGGGUCCUUUUGUGUGUUACUAUUUCAAUCAUGGAUCAUAAAAAGGUUUGGAAGAUGGAACUGUGUUGUUGAUUAAUUGAGUUUUAUUCUGCAGGUUCUUGACCGUGGAGAGAAAAUUGAGCUUCUUGUUGACAAAACUGAAAAUCUUCGCUCUCAGGUGAAUGAAUGAAAUAUCAUUUGGUUUUUUCCCCAAGAUUAUAUCGUUUUUUUUAGCCAAACUGAAAAUGUAUUUUAUAUAGAGCAAGGUUUCUGGAUAUCAAGGGGCUGACUAGGGGCUGACUAGUUCAACCCUCUUGGUGAAGAAAGUAGAUCUGCAAAUCUUGAAUACCACGCAUUUAAGCAACUUUCAUAACUCAUUUUAACAAUUAUAUCUUAGCAUCAAAUUCAAAGCAUGACAAUACUGCUGCAAUCCUUAAGAAUUCAACUAUUUAAUAAUAUCUACAGUCAUCUGGCAUCAACUUUUUUUCUUUUUUUUGAAAUUUUUAACCUGCCAAUUGAAAUGCAUUUCCAAAAACAUGAAACUGUUGGCCAGUCUCUCUUCCAUUCAUAAAAGUAGCAAUGGUGGGGUGAGGUAGGCCUUUGCCUGUUGAUAUGGUAUGAUCAUGCUGUGCUAGUUUCUUGGUCCAUGCUUGGGGCACCCUCUGCCUUUCGCUUUUAACUUUUUGAACUAAAAAAACAUAAAAGUAGCAACUCUCUGGAAAAGUGAAUAUUUGUUGGGAUUUGUUUUAAUUAUAUCAGUUGCUCCUGUUAGUCUGUCUUUAGUCGUUGGCAUGGCUUCCUUUCCAUUGACUUGUGUGUGAUGAAUUACUUGGUUGUUUCAGGCACAAGAUUUCAGACAACAGGGAACCAAGAUGAGGAGGAAGAUGUGGUUGCAGAACAUGAAAAUUAAGCUGAUAGUGCUGGGUAUCUUGAUUGCCUUGAUUCUCAUCAUAGUACUGUCCGUUUGUGGUGGCUUCAAAUGUCACUAGUUUCAAUGAUAAUGAUUUACCUAUACUUUUUUGUGUUAUUACCACUUUCUGCUAUAGUCUAUAUCAUGAAGACAGUGCUUGUAUAGCUUGUGUUUUGAAUUCUUUUGCAACCUGUGAGUUUCUUUAUGUGUGGAAGUUUGUCAUCCCAUGUUAUAAUUUUGUUGUCACUCGGUAUUACUUUGAUUGAUGAAGUUCAGUCACAUGAAGUUGGAAGUAAAUAACAAUGGCUUCACAGAUAUUCCAUCUCAGUUCUUUCAGGUGAAUGCAUUGUUUUGGUAA